Miniopterus natalensis is the source of this 2740-nucleotide long non-coding RNA. RefSeq lists it as uncharacterized. The record is from RefSeq and is a predicted model, not a curated record. Lineage: Eukaryota; Metazoa; Chordata; Mammalia; Chiroptera; Miniopteridae.
GGCCUCCGAAUGAUGAGCGAAUAAAUAAUAUUCAUCGGAGUAACUGGUGAGGUUAAAAGUGCAUGAAGAUGAAGGUUUAGGACGUGUCUGCUCGGCAGGUCAGCGCUGCCUUUGCUGUACUCACGUCGGAGCGAUGGAAGACCUGCUGUGACCAUGUGCAUAAGCUUCUUAGAAGAUACGAGACUCCCUGCGGGCACAGUAAAGGCCCUAUCACCGCCUGGAGCCGAGCUGAGCGGCUCCGUCUGAGGACAGCCUGCACUGCCAGCCAAGUCAUGUGAGGGAAAGUUAGUGUCGCUUUCAGCCCGUAGGUUUAGAGAUCAGAACUAAAAUGUGCCUUCCUUUUGGAAUGACGACAACAGUGAAACUAAAAGUCGUAAAGGAAGUCUCCUGGCUGAGGUCUGAAGCAGCAGUUCUCACUCUGCAGCGAAACUGAAAGGGAGGCAGCAGCCCUCAGCCUUCCUCACCUCUCCUUGUGGCCACGUGGGAGCAUCACGGGAUCGUUCUUCGUUUGGUCUAACACGGGUCGUCACUUUGUCAGUAGGAGGAAUCUGGUGUGCAAAAAGUGAAAAGGCAGUCUCUUUCAAUCAGGCUUCUGAUCACCGGAGAAACUAUUUGUAAAUCUCUUUUUAUUUAUUCCAUUUUCUGGGCAUUUUCAGGCUUCAUGCAAUUGCAUGCAUUAAAUUUUCCACUUAGCUUGUAAGGAUUUUAAACCUUUCUAUGGUCACACAGUUUAUCACUCACACUCUAAGAAAUGCACUUGGGCCUAAUUUCUCCCCAGUGAGCCUCAGGUAAAAUUUCAACUUAAAUUCCCAAGGGUUCCUGUAUUCUGUCUAUUUUUCCCCAAAGGAAAGAGCAGAAGAAAGAAUGGGAGCAGACUCAUAAAUUAUACUCACUUAUUUUAACAAGAGAGUUAGAUGUUACAUGUUCUCUCACAACCGUCACCCGCAUUCCUUACCGACAUACAGGCCUCUUGCCUUGUGCAAUUGGACUAGUCAGUGAAUAGUUCAGUAGCAUAAUAUCUCAUUACAAGAGCAACGGCACAAUUUAACAUUCAAACUGGGAUAGUUUUGAGAGGGAUAAGAAUUUCUAUUGAUAAAUACAGUGGUGCCUCGGUUUUCGAACGUCUCCCUUAACGAACAUUUCGGGUUAGGAACCCCGUAAACCCAGAAGGAAAUGCUUCGGUUUUCGAACAUGCUUCGGAAGUCGAACAUGCCACCCGGCUUCCAUUGAGGGCAAGAUCCUGGGGCCCAGCUGUCGUCUGUGGAUCCCUCGGUUUUCCAGCGUUUCAGAACUGGAACAGUCUUCCGGAACGGAUCACAUUCAAAAACCGAGGGACCACUGUAUGCUGGCAGCUAACAUUGAGGUCACCAGGCAGUGACAAUUCCUUCCUUCUAUAAGCUUCUGGAACAUUUUAGGUUCCUGUCAAUCCCAAGUCUGUUCUCUUUGCCUCUCAUGUAUUCGGCAAGGUCCUUAUAAAAUGGAUAACAAAAUGUAUGACAAAGAAAUUGAUGCUAAUUUUUAGUAAAACAUAUGUUUUAUAAGUUAAAACGAUGAUGUAUUUGUUUAAAAGUUAGCAACAUUAUACAAGGUGACUAUAUGGAUAUAAGUACUUGGGCGAUUUUAAAUGCUGUGUUGAAAUUACAUUGGCUAGUAAAAAUGAGUUUAUAUAGCUGGCUGACAGAUGUGAGAUAAAUAAGAUUGCACGAUUAUGUUCAAAUUGGGUUCAAACUUGCCCAAAUUGUGCAUAUUUACAACUCCCUUCCAGGCCACGUAUAUUGUAAUAAGAAAUGCCGCAUGCAACUAAACAAACAGCAUCUUUGGGUUGGGUUGCCCAUAUUUUCGUUUUAAGGAACUCUUAGGGAAUUGUGGAAGGUGUUUUUUGAGAGGAUGGACAAACAAGAAGUGGCAAGAGGAUGAGCUUUGGAUUAUAAAUAAAGGAAAGAAUUCUUAGUUUGAGCAUUAAGAACAUUUACUGUAUUCUGAUACUUUAAAUAGGGUAGUGUCAACUAUCUAUAUGGCCCCAGGUCUGCCUGGUGGCCUUGCAGUACAGAAAGGAAUGUUAAAACUGGGGAAGACAGAGCCAUUCUUCCAGUGCAGCAGUUAGUGCACAUUGCCAGGGGUUUCUCUGGAUAUGUCAGCCUGCUGCCUUGCUCCCGCUUGCUGCUCCUGCUGUCACCAGGAUUGUUGAUAACAUCCCCGAGGGCUGGGGUAGAUCAUCAGUUUCACUAUCUGAUUUCUAAUAAAUCAUUUCUUACUUAAUCUUCCAUAGUCAAAUUAUACUUUUCACAAAUAAGAUCACUGAGUGUUCUUUUUUUAACUGUUUGGUAAACUGAAUUUUGCAUUUCCCGAGAUCAGACUGUGCUCCUGGAGGCCCCCUUUGAGAGAUUCCUUUAUAAUAGCAUCCCAUAAUGCUUGGAGAAAGCAUGCCCCAAACUGGAGAUGUGUAUAAAUGUGUGUCCCAUGAGUUACUGAGUACACUGGAUAUCUAAAAGAAUAAUUAGCUGUGUAUUUAUGAAUGGAUACUAGACUGGAAGGACCAGAGAGACGAGAGCUUGCCCUCCCACAUGAUCUUGCUCUCAGGUCCAUGAAGCUUUUACUUAUAAACAAAUGAGAAAAAGGCAAGACAUUUAGAUUCUCCUAGACAUGUAAGUAAGAUAGAGUUGGUUCCCAAAAUCUUUUAUUGUUGACUUAAUUCAAGAUUAUUUUAUUCAUUCAAUAAACAUGUACAAUAAACAGAGAA